This is a long non-coding RNA of Corticium candelabrum, 336 nucleotides long. RefSeq lists it as uncharacterized. Lineage: Eukaryota; Metazoa; Porifera; Homoscleromorpha; Homosclerophorida; Plakinidae. The transcript has 3 exons. The record is from RefSeq and is a predicted model, not a curated record.
UUUUUUUCUUUAGUCUAUUCUUGUGGGUCUAUCAUCGCGUUUAGAAAGUCUGGUCCGCAGAAGUGUCAUUAAUAGCCUGACUCAUUUCACGGUAAGCAAACGAGAAGUCGACACGAUCACUCAGGCUGCUUGAUGACUCCAACACUUUACCAAUUGUCUCUGCUCGUUUCACUAUGCUGUUUACCACUACCGAGUGUUUCUAGCCAAAGAUACUUUAUUGCAAUGCCGAGAAGGAUACAACCCGGAGUAGACCACAAAGUGGUGCUGUCACUGUAUCAAGUUGAUAGAGGAAAUUACACCGUCGACCUCAGGGUGGAGCUAGACGACGGCACAAUC